GGAGGGGUGGCCGAGUCCGGUUGAAGGCACCCGCCUUGAAAGCGGGGAUCCCCGGAAGGGGAUCGGGGGUUCGAAUCCCUCCCCCUCCGCCA
RNAcentral lists this transfer RNA (92 nucleotides) under Candidatus Rokuibacteriota bacterium. RNAcentral describes it as "Candidatus Rokubacteria bacterium tRNA-Ser". It matches the Rfam family "tRNA". Rfam says of the family: Transfer RNA (tRNA) molecules are approximately 80 nucleotides in length. Their secondary structure includes four short double-helical elements and three loops (D, anti-codon, and T loops). Further hydrogen bonds mediate the characteristic L-shaped molecular structure. tRNAs have two regions of fundamental functional importance: the anti-codon, which is responsible for specific mRNA codon recognition, and the 3' end, to which the tRNAs corresponding amino acid is attached (by aminoacyl-tRNA synthetases). tRNAs cope with the degeneracy of the genetic code in two manners: having more than one tRNA (with a specific anti-codon) for a particular amino acid; and 'wobble' base-pairing, i.e. permitting non-standard base-pairing at the 3rd anti-codon position. The record is from RNAcentral. Lineage: Bacteria; Candidatus Rokuibacteriota. RNAcentral also lists the same sequence under 1 other name.